AUUGAACGCUGGCGGCAGGCUUAACACAUGCAAGUCGAGCGGGCGAGGUUGCUUCGGUAACUGAGCUAGCGGCGGACGGGUGAGUAAUGCUUAGGAAUCUGCCUAUUAGUGGGGGACAACAUUCCGAAAGGAAUGCUAAUACCGCAUACGCCCUACGGGGGAAAGCAGGGGAUCUUCGGACCUUGCGCUAAUAGAUGAGCCUAAGUCAGAUUAGCUAGUUGGUGGGGUAAAGGCCUACCAAGGCGACGAUCUGUAGCGGGUCUGAGAGGAUGAUCCGCCACACUGGGACUGAGACACGGCCCAGACUCCUACGGGAGGCAGCAGUGGGGAAUAUUGGACAAUGGGCGCAAGCCUGAUCCAGCCAUGCCGCGUGUGUGAAGAAGGCCUUUUGGUUGUAAAGCACUUUAAGCGAGGAGGAGGCUACCGAGAUUAAUACUCUUGGAUAGUGGACGUUACUCGCAGAAUAAGCACCGGCUAACUCUGUGCCAGCCGCCGCCGUAA
Molecule: ribosomal RNA, 501 nt
Filed under: uncultured bacterium
Lineage: Bacteria
Description: partial 16S ribosomal RNA
Rfam family: Bacterial small subunit ribosomal RNA
Source: RNAcentral